Molecule: ribosomal RNA, 492 nt
Filed under: uncultured bacterium
Lineage: Bacteria
Description: partial 16S ribosomal RNA
Rfam family: Bacterial small subunit ribosomal RNA
Source: RNAcentral
AGUGAACGCUGGCGGUAGGCCUAACACAUGCAAGUCGAACGGCAGCACAGUAAGAGCUUGCUCUUACGGGUGGCGAGUGGCGGACGGGUGAGGAAUACAUCGGAAUCUACUUUUUCGUGGGGGAUAACGUAGGGAAACUUACGCUAAUACCGCAUACGACCUACGGGUGAAAGCAGGGGAUCUUCGGACCUUGCGCGAUUGAAUGCGCCGAUGUCGGAUUAGCUAGUUGGCGGGGUAAAGGCCCACCAAGGCGACGAUCCGUAGCUGGUCUGAGAGGAUGAUCAGCCACACUGGAACUGAGACACGGUCCAGACUCCUACGGGAGGCAGCAGUGGGGAAUAUUGGACAAUGGGCGCAAGCCUGAUCCAGCCAUACCGCGUGGGUGAAGAAGGCCUUCGGGUUGUAAAGCCCUUUUGUUGGGAAAGAGAAGCAGCAGGUUAAUACCCCGCUGUUCUGACGGUACCCAAAGAAUAAGCACCGGCUAACUUCGUG